RNAcentral lists this ribosomal RNA (737 nucleotides) under uncultured fungus. Its description in RNAcentral is "eukaryotic LSU rRNA". The stretch from base 1 to 242 matches the Rfam family "Eukaryotic small subunit ribosomal RNA", at positions 1593 to 1831 of the family's 1831-position model. Lineage: Eukaryota; Fungi. The record is from RNAcentral.
UUGCUCUUCAACGAGGAAUACCUAGUAAGCGUGAGUCAUCAGCUCGCGUUGAUUACGUCCCUGCCCUUUGUACACACCGCCCGUCGCUACUACCGAUUGAAUGGCUUAGUGAGAUCUCCGGAUUGCUGUGGAGGGAGCCGGCAACGGCACCUUCCUCGCGAGAAGUUGAUCAAACUUGGUCAUUUAGAGGAAGUAAAAGUCGUAACAAGGUUUCCGUAGGUGAACCUGCGGAAGGAUCAUUAGUGAAUGCCCUCACGGGCUUAACUAUCCAACCAACCUCUGUGAACUGUCGCCCUCGGGCGCUUCUAUAACAAACUAUAACUGUCAUGAACGUCGUAUACAAAAACAAACACAACUUUCAACAACGGAUCUCUUGGCUCUCGCAUCGAUGAAGAACGCAGCGAAAUGCGAUAAGUAAUGUGAAUUGCAGAAUUCAGUGAAUCAUCGAAUCUUUGAACGCACCUUGCGCCCUCUGGUAUUCCGGAGGGCAUGCCUGUUUGAGUGUCAUGUAGACUCAACCCCCCUGGUUUAUGAUCGGGAAGGGUUGGAUGUGGGCGCUGCCAAUUGCUGGCUCGCCUUAAAUGUCUUAGCGGCUUAGAAGCCCCGACCUAGCGUAAUAAGUUUCGCUGGAGAGGGUGUGGAUGACUGCUUACAAUCGCCCUCGGGCAAUCUUUUGACUCUGGCCUCAAAUCAGGUAGGACUACCCGCUGAACUUAAGCAUAUCAAUAAGCGGAGGA